Molecule: ribosomal RNA, 550 nt
Filed under: uncultured bacterium
Lineage: Bacteria
Description: bacterial SSU rRNA
Rfam family: Bacterial small subunit ribosomal RNA
Source: RNAcentral
UAGGGNAUCUUCGGCAAUGGACGGAAGUCUGACCGAGCAACGCCGCGUGAGUGAAGAAGGUUUUCGGAUCGUAAAGCUCUGUUGUAAGAGAAGAACGAGUGUGAGAGUGGAAAGUUCACACUGUGACGGUAUCUUACCAGAAAGGGACGGCUAACUACGUGCCAGCAGCCGCGGUAAUACGUAGGUCCCGAGCGUUGUCCGGAUUUAUUGGGCGUAAAGCGAGCGCAGGCGGUUAGAUAAGUCUGAAGUUAAAGGCUGUGGCUUAACCAUAGUAGGCUUUGGAAACUGUUUAACUUGAGUGCAAGAGGGGAAAGUGGAAUUCCAUGUGUAGCGGUGAAAUGCGUAGAUAUAUGGAGGAACACCGGUGGCGAAUGCGGCUCUCUGGCUUGUAACUGACGCUGAGGCUCGAAAGCGUGGGGAGCAAACAGGAUUAGAUACCCUGGUAGUCCACGCUGUAAACGAUGAGUGCUAGGUGUUAGACCCUUUCCGGGGUUUAGUGCCGUAGCUAACGCAUUAAGCACUCCGCCUGGGGAGUACGACCGCAAGGUUG